This 66-nucleotide transfer RNA is filed under the name Paratapes textilis (textile venus clam). RNAcentral describes it as "Paphia textile (textile venus clam) tRNA-Met". The record is from RNAcentral. Lineage: Eukaryota; Metazoa; Mollusca; Bivalvia; Venerida; Veneridae.
GUAGGAAUAAACUAAGUUAAGUUGUUUGGUUCAUACCCUGAUUAUAGAAUUGUAUUCUUUCCUAUU